CCUACGGGGGGCAGCAGUGGGGAAUAUUGGGCAAUGGGCGCAAGCCUGACCCAGCAACGCCGCGUGAAGGAAGAAGGCUUUCGGGUUGUAAACUUCUUUUCUCAGGGACGAAGCAAGUGACGGUACCGGAGGAAUAAGCCACGGCUAACUACGGGCCAGCAGCCGCGGUAAUACGUAGGUGGCAAGCGUUAUCCGGAUUUACUGGGUGUAAAGGGCGUGGAGGCGGGAAAGCAAGUCAGAGGUGAAAACCAUGGGCUCAACCGGUGGCCUGCAUUGGCAACUGUUUUUCUUGAGUACUGGGGCGGCCGCCGGCCUUCCUCGUGUCGCGGUGAACUGCGUAGGUAUUAGGAGG
RNAcentral lists this ribosomal RNA (352 nucleotides) under uncultured bacterium. RNAcentral describes it as "partial 16S ribosomal RNA". It matches the Rfam family "Bacterial small subunit ribosomal RNA", at positions 338 to 704 of the family's 1533-position model. The record is from RNAcentral.